Molecule: ribosomal RNA, 550 nt
Filed under: uncultured bacterium
Lineage: Bacteria
Description: bacterial SSU rRNA
Rfam family: Bacterial small subunit ribosomal RNA
Source: RNAcentral
UAGGGAAUCUUCCGCAAUGGACGAAAGUCUGACGGAGCAACGCCGCGUGAGUGGUGAAGGUUUUCGGAUCGUAAAACUCUGUUGUUAGGGAAGAACAAGUACAAGAGUAACUGCCUGUACCUUGACGGUACCUAACCAGAAAGCCACGGCUAACUACGUGCCAGCAGCCGCGGUAAUACGUAGGUGGCAAGCGUUGUCCGGAAUUAUUGGGCGUAAAGCGCGCGCAGGCGGUCCUUUAAGUCUGAUGUGAAAGCCCACGGCUCAACCGUGGAGGGUCAUUGGAAACUGGGGGACUUGAGUGCAGAAGAGAAGAGUGGAAUUCCACGUGUAGCGGUGAAAUGCGUAGAGAUGUGGAGGAACACCAGUGGCGAAGGCGACUCUUUGGUCUGUAACUGACGCUGAGGCGCGAAAGCGUGGGGAGCAAACAGGAUUAGAUACCCUGGUAGUCCACGCCGUAAACGAUGAGUGCUAAGUGUUAGAGGGUUUCCGCCCUUUAGUGCUGCAGCAAACGCAUUAAGCACUCCGCCUGGGGAGUACGGCCGCAAGGCUG